RNAcentral lists this ribosomal RNA (301 nucleotides) under uncultured bacterium. Its description in RNAcentral is "partial 16S ribosomal RNA". It matches the Rfam family "Bacterial small subunit ribosomal RNA", at positions 509 to 809 of the family's 1533-position model. The record is from RNAcentral.
CAGUAGCCGCGGGAAUACAGAGGGUGCGAGCGUUAAUCGGAUUUACUGGGCGUAAAGCGUGCGUAGGCGGCUAAUUGAGUCGGAUGUGAAAUCCCCGAGCUUAACUUGGGAAUUGCAUUCGAUACUGGUUAGCUAGAGUGUGGGAGAGGAUGGUAGAAUUCCAGGUGUAGCGGUGAAAUGCGUAGAGAUCUGGAGGAAUACCGAUGGCGAAGGCAGCCAUCUGGCCUAACACUGACGCUGAGGUACGAAAGCAUGGGGAGCAAACAGGAUUAGAGACCCGCGUAGUCCCUGUCUCUUAUAA